Non-coding RNA from Desarmillaria tabescens, 96 nucleotides. Lineage: Eukaryota; Fungi; Basidiomycota; Agaricomycetes; Agaricales; Physalacriaceae. The record is from the annotation of a RefSeq genome assembly.
UCUCUGAUAGUAUAUCGGUUAGUACACGUGCCUGUCAUCUUCAUGAUGCUUAGAGUUUGGUCGCGCAAAAGCUAGGUUCGACUCCCAGUCAGAGAG